CCCAGACUCCUACGGGAGGCAGCAGUGGGGGAUAUUGCACAAUGGGGGGAACCCUGAUGCAGCGACGCCGCGUGGGUGAAGGAGCGUUUCGGCGCGUAAAGCCCUAUCGGCAGGGAAGAAGGAGGACGGUACCUGACUAAGAAGCCCCGGCUAACUACGUGCCAGCAGCCGCGGUAAUACGUAGGGGGCAAGCGUUAUCCGGAUUUACUGGGUGUAAAGGGGGCGCAGACGGCAGCGCAAGCCAGGAGUGAAAGCCCGGGGCCCAACCCCGGGACUGCUCUUGGAACUGCGCGGCUGGAGUGCAGGAGGGGCAGGCGGAAUUCCUGGUGUAGCGGUGAAAUGCGUAGAUAUCAGGAGGAACACCGGUGGCGAAGGCGGCCUGCUGGACUGCGACUGACGUUGAGGCCCGAAAGCGUGGGGAGCAAACAGGAUUAGAUACCCCCGUACAG
This 449-nucleotide ribosomal RNA is filed under the name uncultured bacterium. RNAcentral's name for it is "bacterial SSU rRNA". It matches the Rfam family "Bacterial small subunit ribosomal RNA", at positions 330 to 793 of the family's 1533-position model. The record is from RNAcentral.